This 460-nucleotide ribosomal RNA is filed under the name uncultured bacterium. Its description in RNAcentral is "partial 16S ribosomal RNA". It matches the Rfam family "Bacterial small subunit ribosomal RNA", at positions 338 to 795 of the family's 1533-position model. The record is from RNAcentral.
CCUACGGGUGGCAGCAGUGAGGAAUAUUGGUCAAUGGGCGGGAGCCUGAACCAGCCAAGUCGCGUGAGGGAAGACGGUCCUAUGGAUUGUAAACCUCUUUAGGCGGGGAGCAAUGCCGGGCACGCGUGCCCGGAUGGAGAGUACCCGCAGAAUAAGCAUCGGCUAACUCCGUGCCAGCAGCCGCGGUAAUACGGAGGAUGCGAGCGUUAUCCGGAUUUAUUGGGUUUAAAGGGUGCGUAGGCGGAUUUUUAAGUCAGCGGUAAAAUGUCCGGGCUCAACCCGGGCCGGCCGUUGAAACUGGCGGUCUUGAGUGGGCGAGAAGUAUGCGGAAUGCGUGGUGGAGCGGUGAAAUGCAUAGAUAUCACGCAGAACUCCGAUUGCGAAGGCAGCAUACCGGCGCCCGACUGACGCUGAGGCACGAAAGCGUGGGGAUCGAACAGGAUUAGAUACCCGUGUAGUC